Molecule: long non-coding RNA, 1220 nt
Filed under: Pan troglodytes (chimpanzee)
Lineage: Eukaryota; Metazoa; Chordata; Mammalia; Primates; Hominidae
Description: long non-coding RNA NONPTRT013577
Source: RNAcentral
UAUGGGGAGGGCAUCCUGAGACGCUGACAUUGCCAUGGCAAUUGCUAAAGCUUCUUCUUCUUCAGCUUCCAUCUUCUCUUUGCACUUUUGAUUAUGAUUCACAUCAUCUUUGUAGGUAUCAUCAUUUUCAGCCUUUUCAGGAGACAGGACAGCAACUUCUGACUUAAAAGUUACUGUUGUAUCACUUGAAGGCAUAGAUGCUUCAAGAAGGUCCUCAAUACUGGAGUUGAGCUCUGUAUUGACAUCUAAUCUGCAUUUCUCCUCUACUGGGGUGAACACUGUCUCGUCACUGGGUAUAGCAGCAUUACUACUAUUGCUGCUACAGCCAAAGCUGUCAUCACAUUUGGAACUACUGUUCAGAUCAAGUGUCAUGCUAUUUUUUGAGGGAUCUCCCUGUUUACUUGUAUUACCUGGGGUAGGUCGAGAUGGCUUUGGCCUGUGUAUGUUACUGGAGGGCAAGGGUCUUGACUGAGUAAAGACUGGGGAAAGUUUAUCUGAGUCUUUGUUUUCAGGACAGUUUCUGUGGAAUUGUAGAGAAAACUUGCGCUGUGUUUGAGGAGAUGCAGAAGGUAUUCUGCAGGGAAUGAAUCCCUGAAGUCUAUGCUUAGAGACAUCUGUUGCAGUGCCAGCUGGUACAGAUGGGGUAGAAGAUGAAGGGGUUGACAAGGCUGGAAACAUUAAUUGGGAAUGAUGAGAUAAAGGAGAGGAGUUCAAACACUGACUGUGGGGUCUGCCUUUUGUUUGAACCAUUGGCUUUGGUUGCUCUGUUGUUGUUGUUGUUGAACUAGAAGGUCCUACUGAAAUGCUGGCCAGUCUCUCCGAAAUGUCCUCUGAACUGGCACUCAAUUUUGUAGUACAUAAUCCUUUUCCAGUUUUCUCUAAAUGGAUUGUGCACUCAGGGGAACUGUUCUCUGUGGUUUCCAGAUAGUUGUUGGGAACAGAUGCCUGCAAGAAGCUGUCCUGUUGACCAUCCAAAGUGUCUUCUACGCCCAACUGGAUGGCUUCAGCAAUUUCCACCUCAUCUGCAAUAGCCAUCAAACGGCGACGCAUCCUGGUGAAGCUCAGCUUGUGAAACAUCAGUACUGACAAUAUGAGGAUAAAAUUCAGCAGGAAAUUCCAACAACAGUCUAUCUAUAAGACAAAGGCGGCCAAGAAGUUCUUGCCAAUUGUUUGAUUCAGUUUGGUUUCCAAGAAUACAAUUUAAGACAUAAUCAACACCA